RNAcentral lists this transfer RNA (65 nucleotides) under Fasciolopsis buskii. Its description in RNAcentral is "Fasciolopsis buski tRNA-Val". Lineage: Eukaryota; Metazoa; Platyhelminthes; Trematoda; Plagiorchiida; Fasciolidae. The record is from RNAcentral.
GAUAGGGUAUUUUAAGAUAAAAUUUCUAUUUUACACGUAGAAGAUGGGUGUUUGCUCCGCUAUUA